This 497-nucleotide ribosomal RNA is filed under the name uncultured bacterium. RNAcentral's name for it is "partial 16S ribosomal RNA". It matches the Rfam family "Bacterial small subunit ribosomal RNA", at positions 28 to 507 of the family's 1533-position model. The record is from RNAcentral.
GAUGAACGCUGGCGGCGUGCCUAAUACAUGCAAGUCGAGCGAACAGACGAGGAGCUUGCUCCUUUGACGUUAGCGGCGGACGGGUGAGUAACACGUGGGUAACCUACCUAUAAGACUGGGAUAACUUCGGGAAACCGGAGCUAAUACCGGAUAAUAUUUCGAACCGCAUGGUUCGAUAGUGAAAGAUGGCUCUGCUAUCACUUAUAGAUGGACCUGCGCCGUAUUAGCUAGUUGGUAAGGUAACGGCUUACCAAGGCAACGAUACGUAGCCGACCUGAGAGGGUGAUCGGCCACACUGGAACUGGGACACGGUCCAGACUCCUACGGGAGGCAGCAGUAGGGAAUCUUCCGCAAUGGGCGAAAGCCUGACGGAGCAACGCCGCGUGAGUGAUGAAGGUCUUCGGAUCGUAAAACUCUGUUAUUAGGGAAGAACAAACGUGUAAGUAACUGUGCACGUCUUGACGGUACCUAAUCAGAAAGCCACGGCUAACUACGUG